UACGUAGGUGGCAAGCGUUGUCCGGAAUUACUGGGCGUAAAGGGCGAGUAGGCGGUUUUACAAGUCAGAUGUGAAAUGCAUGGGCUCAACCCAUGGACUGCAUUUGAAACUGUAAGACUUGAGUGCGGUAGAGGAAAGUGGAAUUCCCAGUGUAGCGGUGAAAUGCGUAGAUAUUGGGAGGAACACCAGUGGCGAAGGCGACUUUCUGGGCCGUAACUGACGCUGAGGCGCGAAAGCGUGGGGAGCAAACAGG
Molecule: ribosomal RNA, 253 nt
Filed under: uncultured bacterium
Lineage: Bacteria
Description: partial 16S ribosomal RNA
Rfam family: Bacterial small subunit ribosomal RNA
Source: RNAcentral